ACAUGUGGUGUACCAUCCUGU
This 21-nucleotide microRNA is filed under the name Malus domestica (apple). RNAcentral's name for it is "mdm-miR10993f". The record is from miRBase by way of RNAcentral. Lineage: Eukaryota; Viridiplantae; Streptophyta; Magnoliopsida; Rosales; Rosaceae.